AGGGAAACAAGGGGCGGCCCACAUGAUGGAUCUCUCUUCUCCUUUUUGUGCCGUGAGAGAGCCUACCCCUCUGUUGGUUUUUGUGACGUGGGAGAGCCUCUUUCUCUUGGGUUUCAGCCACCAGCAAACAAAGAAAAAGAAGGAGGCAUGUAGCCCUUCCUCCCUCUCUUCUUUGGUUCCAAAAAAAAGAAAAAAAGAAAAAGCUGCAAAGGGGUUUUGCCUUCUUCCUUUUGAUCCAUCCUUCUUCCUCCUCUCUAAGGCAAUCAAGAGUUGAUUCAAAAGAGAGGAUUUUAGCCAUCAAAACGCAUCUCUGCAAGAGAGCUAGCACCCCGGGGAGAUUAGUGAGUUUGGAUUGGUCCUCUGCCUCGUGUGGAUAUCCGUAGAGGCCGGACGCGUGUGCGGCUUCAACCGAACCUUCCAACAAAUACCACGAUCAUCAGAUUGCAGUGAAUAUCUACCCGCACAAGGCAAUCAAGAGUUGAUUCAAAGGAGAGGAUUUCAGCCAUCAAAAGCCAUCUCUGCAAGGAAGCCAACACCCCGGAAAGAUUCAAAGACUUAGAUCGGUCCUCUGCCUCGUGUGGAUACCCGUAGAGGCCGGAUGUAUGUGCGGCCUCAAGCGAACCUUCCAAUAAAUCCAUGAUCAUCAAAUUUGCGGUGAUCAUCUACCCGCACAAGUGCAAGUAAUCCAAGAAACCAAUUAACAUUGGGUUUGCGCCCAAUGCCCGGCAGCCCGAGCUCAAGUCAAGCCGUCCGUGAGGAGUUUUUCCAACACAACAGAUCCCUUCAUCCAGUCUUAGCCCAACUGUGAUUCCAGCACAUUCCAAGCUUCACGCGAUGAAGCCAUCAACGUCCGCGUCAGUCCCAGGCACCCAUUCGAACGCAGCCCAGCUUCUCCAAGUGAUCCCGCGGCCAGCGUUGCAACCUCCCAUCCGCAUCAGCGAUCCGGCGUCCCCCUCUCCCGGAUUUGAGAUCCCCGCGACCCAAUCCCAGCUGUGCGCCCAUUCCGUGAUCCCGUGCGAAGAACAGGGGAGAAGAAAGGAUCCCGUGCCCGGAGAAGAAAGGAUCCGCGUUGCCCAAAUUUUCUUCCAUUUCAGCGCGUCUCCACCGCAUAGCAUCCACCGCAUCCCCAGUUCCUUCCAAUCCAGUGAUCUCCUUCCUUACGCGAUCAAAAUCCCAGCUCCUCCAAGAGAUCCCAGGCGCCCAUAAAGCCGUGAUCGGCUCUUCCGGCUUCAACCCUUCCUCCGCAUCGGAAUCCUAGCCGUGAUCCACUCCUUCCACGAUCCGAAUCCCAGCUCAUCCCGCCUCUGCACCCAUGGAUCCACGGCAUCCCGUAAUCCACAUGCUCCCAGCGCCCGGAUCUCGUCCGUGAUCGACUCCUCCCCACGUCCCCACCUUUUGAUUCCAGGCCGUCCGCAUCCUCCGCGUCCUCACCGCGUCUGCCAUCUUCCUUCCCCAUUUGAGCAUUCCGGCCAUGGCAUCACUUCCAAAUCUGCCACGCCAUCAACACGAACGCAUGCCAGCAACGCCCAUCAGCAGAAUCCCAGCGUCCGCCCUCUCCUUACUCCCACGGAUCACGCCAU
This is a non-coding RNA of Phoenix dactylifera (date palm), 1580 nucleotides long. NCBI's taxonomy places the organism in Eukaryota, Viridiplantae, Streptophyta, Magnoliopsida, Arecales, Arecaceae. The record is from RefSeq and is a predicted model, not a curated record.